GUGAACUGUGAAGUGUUCUGCUUGGUUUUUCUUUUCCAUCUGCGGAGUCCAUGAAUCUUUUUCAAGGGGAAAAAAGAGGAAGAAAGAUGUGAAAGCACUGUUGGGUUGUGUUCUUCUUGCUUUAUCUUUUGGUGUGUGUGAUCCCAAACACUAAGUCUGCAGAGGAUGAUAUACACAUUGCCGACGUUGAGUGUUGAUUUAGCUUGGCUUCUAUAGCUUCAGGAACUAUAUUCUGGUAAUGAUUUAGGAAGCCAAUUGGAUAUGAAUAUGCUGGUGCGGACAUGCUUGAACCAAGGGAAGCUGAUGUACCUGUGUUGUUUCUGGUUUUGGUUGUGCUUCCUCUUGUUGCUUACAUUUUACUUGGGAAAUGGAGUGAGGCUACAAAGAAGAGAGAGAGGAUAGAUUUGCUUGCUCAAAUGGCUACUGAAGAGGCACUUAGGGCAGAAGCAAUGCCUACUGCCACUGCUACUGCUACUGCUACUGCUACGGCUAUUCCUUUCGUGUCUCCUUCAAAGAAUAGAAUUCAUGUCUGUGCUAGAUGCUUAAGCCCAGCUACAACUCGCUGCUCGAGAUGCAAGUCUGUUAGAUACUGUUCUGGGAGAUGUCAAAUAAUUCACUGGAGGCAAGUUCAUAAGCAAGAAUGCCAGCAGUUGGAAACUACCAGUUCAUGCUCAUCUCCAAAUGCUACUGCAAUCAAGGACUCAAUUCCAGAGAGGAUCUCAAGUCUCUCAAUUAAUGACAGCUUGAAUUCAUUUUACUCUGGGUAUCAUUUUAAGUCAGCUUUGAUGAAUAAUGCACCUUCAGAGAAUACAGUUCAUCCUCCAAUAAUCAAUGGUGUCUCUGCUGGUACCAAUUGUGCUGCAGUUGAUGCCUAUCAAGAGGCCAUGCUACAGAAAAGAAGCGCAGAAAAGUGGGUUUAUCAUAAAUCCAAUGGAGAAAUGUUAAUAGGACAUGAUGUGGCUGUACUUGAUUCUCAGGAAGAAACUUCUGGAACGAGGCCUGCCUGCUUAACUUCUUCUAACGACACUGCCAGUGUGUAUAUCAAUGGGCAAGAUAGUGCUCAUAAUAUGCAUGUGAUUCCUAAAUAUUUAAGAGAACCUGGGAAGAUGUUUGAAUCAAGAAGCAAAUAUGGAUCUUUGGGUUCAUUGCAUUCAGAGAAAAAUGGGAUAAAAGUGCAUGAAACUGAAACAGACAUUAUUUUGAAUGGAGGAAAUAUGUCAAAUGUAGAAAAUACUUUUAAUGGUGAGAUGGGAGCAUUGAAUUGUUCUUAUGAAACAGCACCUACGAAGGGAAGUGUAAAGGGUAAAUGUGCAUUGCUGCCUGUGGGGACCAAAAUUUCUAAAUCAUCAAAAUCAACGAUGAAGGAGAAAGUCUUUGGAGAACAAUCAUACUCAGAAGUAGAGGGCAGGGAAAAAAUUGCAGAUGAUUCAAAGGCUGUUAGAAUGGGACAUGCCAUUCCUGCUCCAGGAAGCAAUGGAGUUGCUGGUGCUGGUAUUGUGAAGAAGAUGAGCAUAAGGAGGUCAACUAGACUUACUAGACAGGAUGUUAGAGGACUUAGUGGGACACACAGAAAAAUGCUGUUCCCUUAUGAAGAAUUUGUUGAGAUAUUUAACUGUGAGGCUGUUAUCUUAUCACCUAGGGGACUUGUAAAUUGUGGAAACAGUUGUUAUGCCAAUGCUGUCCUUCAAUGUUUAACCUGCACAAAGCCACUGAUCAUCUUCUUGCUUCGUAGAUCACAUUCAAGAUCCUGUUGUGGGAAAGAUUGGUGUCUUAUAUGUGAACUUGAGAAACAUGUAACGUUGUUAAGAGAAUUUGGUGGCCCUCUAUCUCCUAGUAGAAUCCUUUUGCACAUGCAGAAUAUCAAUUGCCAGAUUGGUGGUGGAAGUCAGGAAGAUGCUCAUGAGUUUUUAAGGCUUCUGGUUGCAUCAAUGCAAUCCAUAUGCUUGGAAGGACUUGGUGGUGAGAACAAGGUCAAUCCCAUAUUACAAGAAACAACCUUCAUACAACAUACUUUUGGUGGUCGUCUUCAGUCAAAGGUCAAAUGUCUGAGAUGUCAUCACGAGUCAGAACGAUAUGAAAGUAUAAUGGAUCUUACGCUAGAGAUAUUUGGUUGGGUUGAGUCAUUAGAAGAUGCAUUGACUCAGUUUACUACCCCUGAAGAAUUGGAUGGAGAAAACAUGUAUAGAUGUGGAAGGUGUGAUGAUGUUUUGUCCUUUCUUUAUGUUAUUGAUAUCAUUAUCUUACAAUAUUUUUUAACUUUAGAGGUUGAAACUUAAGUAACUUAUUGGCCCUGCAAAUAUCUUGAUAAUAAGGUGUGCCACAUAUGUCCAAGCUAGGAAGCAAUUGAGCAUACAUGAGGCACCAAACAUUCUGACAAUUGUUUUGAAACGAUUCCAGGUAACACUUGUGCAUUUGACUACUGAGGCCUUCACUAUGAUACUUUCCACUUCUGUCUGAAUGACAUCUACCUACAAAAAUCUAGCUUGUUUCAUGCAUUUUCAAGAGCUGUUAUUGGUUUUACGAGUUGUAAUCAUACAACUGACUGAUAUGAUGUUCACCUAAUCUUCUUUGAGUUCUACAUAAAGUGAAAAGGAAAUAGCUUAGCAUUGUAGGUAGUAACUUGCUGUUCCCUUGAUCUGCCCAAAUUACAAACUGAGAUGAAUUCUAAUAACAAAUGUCUUUAUUUUAAACUCAUUUAAAUUGAUCUUAGACUUGAUAUAGUUCUUGGUAUAUCUACUUUCCAGUUUGUUAUUUGCUAGAUGGGAUUUUAGUUCUUCAUUGUCAAGCUUGUUUAGUGCUUUUGAUCCUGGGUUUUGCUUUCCCAGGAAGGACAGUAUGGGAAAAUAAACAAAUGUAUUACUUUUCCUGACAUGCUGGAUAUGGUCCCAUUUAUGACUGGAAUGGAUGAUAUUCCUCCUCUUUACGUGCUCUAUGCUGUUGUGGUGCAUUUGGAUACAUUGAAUGCAUCCUUUUCUGGGCAUUAUGUGGCAUAUGUAAAAGAUAUGCAAGGCAACUGGUUCAGGGUAGAUGAUACUGAGGUAAAUCUUUCUCAUCAUUUCGGGUUUUUUUUUAGGGUUUUUCUUAACAUAACUGCUCAGCGCAUUUUUUUGUCUAUGCAUAAAUAUAAGCCCAUGAUGAAGUGAACUUUUGGAAAAAUGAAUGACAGUUAAAUACUUAAUGAGUCAGCAAUGCAUUUUUACUUCUAUAUUAUCUGAAAAACAGUUUCCAUGGAUAGUUAACGUUAUAAAUAAAUUGAUGUUAUUUAUAUAUAUAUCACUUUUUUUUAUUCAUCUUUGUUAACAAAUUGUAAUUUUGAAUUGUGGUGAAUGAGUGUAGAUGAAGCUUCAGAGCAUGAGCUGAGCUGACAGAGUAUAUCAAUUUGGACCUUUGAUGUUUCAAAUUUUUAAUUAAUUAGCAGUUUAUAUUUCACUAUUAAGUUGGCUUUUAACAUCUAUACACAUUUUCUUUGAAUGUUCAAUCAGUUGAUAUGCAGUUCACCUGGGUAGAUAUCUGCCAUCCAUAUUUUGUAUAAAAGACAGAUGUCAGAAAUUAUAUUUGUUGUUGUUACCCAUUUAUUGUUCUGCUUUCCUUUAGGGUUAGUGACAUGGUUGAUGUGAGGAUUUAACAAUAUUUGGCAACAUUUGAGAUUAUGGUUUUAAUUUUGUUUCUUAGUUCUUAUUUUGAUGAGAUAGGAUUUCAAGGUUUUGGAUGAUGGUUCCUUGACAGGUUCAUCCAGUGCCAAUGAGCCAAGUGAUGUCUGAGGGAGCAUAUAUUCUAUUUUACAUCAGGUCCUGUCCUCGCCCUCAGAGGGAAUUUAAUGAAAAACCUAUCCAGCAACAAGUUCCAUCAUCUGUAAGACAAUGCGUCUCAUCAAGUACACAGAAACCUUCAAGAAAGGGACAUGUCAAAUCAACCAGCCGCAUUCUUGGCUCAGAGCCAUCAUUGGAUUUCAAACCAGAAAAUGGUACUGGCCUUAACAACCACACUAAUGGGAUUCUGGGGAGCACAAACAGAAACAUUGCUCAAGCAAUGGAAUUCUCUGAUGCUACAUCAAGUGAUUGGUCUCUUUUUACAAGCUCAGAUGAGGCUUCCUUCACUACUGAGAGCACCAGAGACUCCUUUAGUACUGUGGAUUACUCUGAUACAUGCAAUGCAGAUAAAUUCUCCUCAAUCUUCAAUAACUUGUAUCCUCCACAGUCAUCCUCGCAGAACAGCACUCUUUGUUGUAGAACAUUUUCAAGUAGCAGGCCACAGACUAAGUUCAUCUCAGAGGAAAGGGGCUAUGUGUUAGACUCAUUCUUGUCAACGCAUCCUACAAAAGGGUUGUGGAGAUGAGAUAGUUUUAAACAGGUCAGUGAUUCUACUGAAUUUCCUACUUUCUUGUUGUACCAUGUCUUCAAAAUGUGGGAUUAAUCCAAAAUGUGGUCUUGAUUGAACUUCUGGCCAUUGUAAAUUAUAGGCUUGGAGAUCCCAACUGAUAAAUUAGAUGACUUAGCUAGGUGGAAUCUGUGCCUCAAUAAUUUUUGUUCGUAAUACUUUAUUAAUUGGGGCAUUGGGAUUGUUCUAUAUCACCCAAGGAAAGAAACAUUCUUGUCAGCAUUUAGAAUUAAUUGUUGAAAAUGUAAAGUGCCAGCAUCUCCAUGUGGGACUUUUCAGUCAUAUUUUCGUGUUUGAAAACUUGUGUUUCACUUGUUUGGAUCGCAUCAAACAUGCUAACAGAGGGC
RNAcentral lists this unclassified non-coding RNA (4724 nucleotides) under Hevea brasiliensis (rubber tree). The record is from RNAcentral. Lineage: Eukaryota; Viridiplantae; Streptophyta; Magnoliopsida; Malpighiales; Euphorbiaceae.